This is a ribosomal RNA of Cricetulus griseus (Chinese hamster), 138 nucleotides long. NCBI's taxonomy places the organism in Eukaryota, Metazoa, Chordata, Mammalia, Rodentia, Cricetidae. The record is from Ensembl.
AAAACCAAACUUACCACCCUGAAUGCGCCCGAUCUCGUCUGAUCUCGAAAGCUAAGCAGGUCCGGGCCUAGUUAGUACUUGGAUGGGAGACACUGGCCCAACUUCUAUAUCUAACUAGUGUUGUUGGCUUUGUAUUCU